ACCAAGCCCACCUCACGAUGAUACGAUGUUGGCUAGCAAAAAUAAUAAUGAGAGGGUACAAUUACCCAUUCAUAACAACCUCUUGUGAUUACCCAUCUUUUUGGCCUCUAGAGAGCAAUGCCUCACUAUGAUACGAUGUUGGCAUCAUUUCUCUUAGUUAAGUUCUUUCCCACCAUGCUGGUUUAGAUAGGGGUUCAAGCAUAACCUCACGAUGAUACGAUGUUGGCCACACUCGUUGCCUACCUUAACCUCAUCAAAUGUUUUAAAUAAACUCCUCCUGAGUAUAAGCAUGCACUUUGCAAUCCCCCAUGAUAGGGUGAAGGCGAUGUACAAGUCAUAAACGAUUGGAGCCUACCACGGUGGAAGGCCAUGAAAAAAUGUUCAAAGCACUCUUACACUUUCAACUUAAUAUUGUAUGUUGGUUGAGGGAUUUUUAAGGUCUCAUCAAUUUUUAUUUAUUUAAUCAUAUUCAAAUAAAUAAUGUCCUAUUACAACUACUAGUCCAAAGUUAAUGAAAUUAGUAGUAUAUGAUAUCCCCACUAUUCGUUUUCAUAAAACAAAUCAAUAUCAAAACAUUUUUCAAAAUAUUGGAGAUAUAUAUAACUACUAAUUUUAUUCAUUACAGUUUAGUAGCGUAUGAUACUCCCACUAUUUGUUUUAAGAAAAACAAAUCAAUAUCAAAAACGAAUUUUCAAAUAUUGGAAGUAACUACUACUACUAAGGUUUUUGCAUUCCUUUGAAAUUGGACUUUAUAGUUAU
RNAcentral lists this long non-coding RNA (759 nucleotides) under Malus domestica (apple). RNAcentral's name for it is "long non-coding RNA (MDOM_LNC008322)". The record is from RNAcentral. Lineage: Eukaryota; Viridiplantae; Streptophyta; Magnoliopsida; Rosales; Rosaceae.